Tribolium castaneum (red flour beetle) is the source of this 3127-nucleotide long non-coding RNA. RefSeq lists it as uncharacterized. Lineage: Eukaryota; Metazoa; Arthropoda; Insecta; Coleoptera; Tenebrionidae. The transcript is spliced from 3 exons. The record is from RefSeq and is a predicted model, not a curated record.
ACUAACGAAACAAUUUGUUUUUCAGGUCAGCAGUAUUAAAAAAACAGCUAUUGAUAUCACAGUGAAAACAAGAAAUAAACAAAUCAGGGAGAAAACGAAUGCUCUAGGGUUGCAAUUACUACAUGAGAAAUAACAUAUUAAAGCUGGAGAAUUUUUUGCUAUAGACUUACCACUAAUGUUCGAGAUAAUGACAGCUUGUUCCACCUUCAUGUUAAUAACGAUACAGUUUAUUGAAGUCAAAAUAUAAUUAUUCUAAGUGGGUAUAGUCAGAAAUGAUUAUUCAGCCAUAAUAAGAUGUCCCAACGUUUGCUUUAAAUAUUGAGAUUGGAAUUUGAUGUGUUUAUGUUAUAAUAUAAAGUUUUACACAUUUUCAUUAGCAACAUUUUUCGAAUUUUUUGUUUGCUUGUUGUUUGUAUUUUUUAUGGAAAAACUGAUGACUGGAAUAUUUCAUUCGUACCUAAACAUGUUCCAUUCUCAACUAAAAAAACGAGGGGUCAUCCAGUUCUUACAUGACUCUUAGAAAUAUACAGGGUAGUAGGUAAUGGGAAUUUCGUAUGUGAAUUUGCCAUGAUCAGACGAGUUAAAAACUCUUAUAUCAUUUUUCCAAAAAGUGCAUACUUAUUAUCACAUCUGUUGAGAGUCGCUGUGUGGCUUAUGGUAGUUUAUGAGCAGAUAAUUUUUUUCUGUAAACAAAAUGGGAAUGGUGGCACAUGGGCAUUUUAAGAAUUUUUUAAAAUUGUGGCAAACAAGUUCAUUUCUGUGGGAGGUUUGAAUCCUGGUCCUGGCAAAACAUUUGUUUUUUUUUCGUAAUAUUUAAUAACAAUACACAAACUGAAAAUGAAAAAUAACGUAGUGGACCAUGAAAGUUAUUUACCUUUGGUGUUUUGUCAAUAUGUAAUAUUAAAAUUUACGCUAAUUUUUAUAAUUCUAGUUCAGCGGUUCUCAAAAUUUGUGAGUUUAGUUUUAGAACGAUUUUUUGGGAAAACUAUGCAUGCAUUUUUGAUUUACAUAAAUUUUGCUUAAUCGAUUUGUCUUGCCAUUCAGUAUCUACCUUUAAAUUUUUGUUAAACCAUUCCCUAAUACGCUGUACAUUACUUAAUUAUUACGUAACAAUAAGUGGAUAUUCCGGUCUAAAAGUGACACAAGCCACACAAAAACUUUUAGAUAAAGCCAAAAAGAUGUUAGCAAAACAAGUAUGAAUUUAAAACGUUGAAACAGCUUCAAAAUUGUCCAAAUUUCAAUGAAAAAAGAAACGGAAAAGUUGGAUAAUGCAGCAGAAUAUGGUUUAGAUAUAAUUUCAGUAAAUUUGGAGCAAUGGAAUUAGGCGUUACCAACAUCUUCAAAAAAUAUAUCUAAAGUCUCAGAGUGUGAGCAGCUGAAAAAAUUUUGAAUUAGAAAAAUUACACUAUGUUAAGUUGGUUUGCUUUUUAUCUCUCCGAUAGAACUCAGCAAGUUAAGAUUGAAAAUCAAUUUUCGUACACGGUGGUCAAAAGAAACAUUUAAAUAUUAGAUUUUUAGAAACUAAAAUUUUUAAGAAAGAAAAAUAAUUGUUCAAAGGUAAGUAAAAGUUGAAGAUAAUAAAGAAAUAACAUAAAAUGAAGUAAAAGUCAAAGCGAAACAUUAACUGAAAGCUUUUCAUCUUUUGAUGACGAACACGAAAGUAGUUCGAAAGCAAUGAGAAACAGAAAUAAUUAAAAAAAUUGAGGAUGCAAUCUAAAAUUAAAUGUGGCUAGAAAUUGUGAAUUGGAACCUAAAAUGUAACUAACAUUGCUCUAUAACUUAUCUCUCGCGAUCCUAAUCAAGCACUCAACCUGCUUUUGUUUGAAAAUAUACAGGGUGAAUCUGUGCUAAAGGUUUAUCUCAAAAACUAUUAAACAAACAUUAAUCAACAUAUAUUAUUAAUAGGGACCGGAUUUCUAGAAAGUUAUACCGGGUUCGUCAAGUUUUACUCUCAGGCACUUCACACCUCUUAGAAGAGAGAAAAAAAAUAUGAAAUAAGUAUAUUCCACUGCACUGAUAUCCAAUCUCGCUAGGAAAAAAAUAUUUUUUUCUAUUGAUUCAUUUGUCCAAUAAAAACGAAAAAAACCAUUUGAACAAAAAAUCACAUUAGCUGUUUUUUACAUCAAUGGAUCGGAAAUACGAAAUAAAAUUAUUUUGCAAAAAUUUGACUUGAAAAAAAUCGUUAGAAUUGGAUUAAAAGCCAUUUUGAUAUUAUUCAUCCGAAAUUUCUGUAUAAUUUAUGAAGGACAAGAUUGAGUAGUAAUAAAUCUUCGCUACAAAAGGAUCCACUACCUACCCAAAUAACAGUAAUAACUGCAUUUAAAGCCAGGUUUUAAAGCCAGGACCGGAAUAAGCACACUAACGUGUUAAAAAUGUUUUUAUUUAAAAAUUACACCAGAAGUUCAAAUUGAUGACUAUUUUGGUCUAAGCACAAACGACUUCUUCCUUUACAAUGUAAGUGAUUUUGAGUAAGUGAGCAAAUUUUCAAUUCAUUGGGACAACAGGAAUCCUUUUAAAUUUGGCUUCGAAAAUAUGAAACAGACAGACAAACAACAAAACAAGUUAAAUAAAAAAAAUUAAAAACAAACAAUCCUAGAAUAGUAGAACUUUCACACAACUAACUAAAAUCUACACUGUCGGUUUUAAUAAUUAAAAUAAAUAAAUUUUUUAAAUCAAAAUUAACAAUCGUGAACACUGCAUUUUUUACACUUUUACAUAUUUUUUCCAAAACACUUUUAUUAUCAAAGCUUAUUUCCAAAUUGGACACUUAAUAAAUGGAGAAUGAUAAGAUUCGAUGUCUAAAUGCCUAUCAAUAGUUCAUUUUCUCAUAUUUUUUUGAAAAAUUCACAGAUAGUAGAUGAGAAUCAUUUGAAAACACAUCUGAAUUUUAGACAAUACAUUCAAAUUAACAACUCAGCUAACGAACCUGAUUAAAGUGUUUGUUAAAAGAAACCCUUUGAAUGCAUAAGUAUCCAGUAACUGUGACAUAUAUGACAAGUAAUUUAAAGUCUUUGUGAACCAAUAGCGCUUAAUCAAGUUAAAUUAGCAACUAACCGUCUUCCACGUGGAAAUUUUUGUAGAGUGCAUACAAUACGUUAUGCUAAACGUAAUUAGACAUAAGUGCGUU